This 2310-nucleotide ribosomal RNA is filed under the name Thioflexithrix psekupsensis. RNAcentral's name for it is "bacterial LSU rRNA". It matches the Rfam family "Bacterial large subunit ribosomal RNA", at positions 1 to 2347 of the family's 2925-position model. The record is from RNAcentral. Lineage: Bacteria; Pseudomonadati; Pseudomonadota; Gammaproteobacteria; Thiotrichales.
GUUAUAUGGUCAAGUAGAAAAGCGCACACGGUGGAUGCCUUGGCGAUAACAGGCGAUGAAGGACGUGAUAGCCUGCGAAAAGCUGCGGCGAGUUGGCAAAUAAACAUUGACCCGCAGAUGUCCGAAUGGGGAAACCCACUCCUUUGGAGUAUUCUUAUCUGAAUCUAUAGGGUAAGAAAGCAAACCUAGGGAACUGAAACAUCUAAGUACCUAGAGGAAAAGAAAUCAACCGAGAUUCCGUCAGUAGUGGCGAGCGAAAGCGGAACAGCCCGUAUGAUAUAGUCGUAUUAUGAGCAGAAUGGUCUGGAAAGUCCAGCGACACAGGGUGAUAGCCCCGUAGGCAAACAUAAAACGAUAGAACUAAGCAUACAUAGAGUAAGGCGGGACACGAGAAAUCCUGUCUGAACAUGGGGGGCCCAUCCUCCAAGGCUAAAUACUCGUUAUCGACCGAUAGUGAACCAGUACCGUGAGGGAAAGGUGAAAAGAACCCCAGCGAGGGGAGUGAAAUAGACCCUGAAACCGUGUGCGUACAAGCAGUGGGAGCAUUUGAAGAAAUGUGACUGCGUACCUUUUGUAUAAUGGGUCAGCGACUUACUGGCAGUGGCAAGCUUAACCAUCAGGUAGGCCUAGCGAAAGCGAGUCUGAAUAGGGCGUUAAGUCGCUGUCAGUAGACCCGAAACCGGGCGAUCUAGCCAUGAGCAGGAUGAAAGUCGGGUAACACCAACUGGAGGUCCGAACCCACGUCUGUUGAAAAAGACGGGGAUGACUUGUGGCUAGGAGUGAAAGGCUAAUCAAGCUCGGAGAUAGCUGGUUCUCCUCGAAAGCUAUUUAGGUAGCGCCUUGCGUUUUACUCUCGGGGGUAGAGCACUGUUUGGGCUAGGGGGGCAUCUCGCUUUACCAACCCCAUGCAAACUUCGAAUACCGAGAAGUACCAUCGCAGGAGACACACGGCGGGUGCUAACGUCCGUCGUGAAAAGGGAAACAACCCAGACCGCCAGCUAAGGUCCCCAAAUGAACGCUCAGUGGGAAACGAUGUGGAAAGUCACAGACAGCCAGGAGGUUGGCUUAGAAGCAGCCACCCUUUAAAGAAAGCGUAAUAGCUCACUGGUCGAGUCGGUCUGCGCGAAAGAUAUAACGGGGCUCAAGCGUUCUACCGAAGCUGCGGAUGCCGUAAGGCAUGGUAGGGGAGCGUUCUGUAAGCCUGUGAAGGUCUGCUGUGAGGCAGACUGGAGGUAUCAGAAGUGCGAAUGCUGACAUAAGUAGCGAUCAUGCGGGUGAAAAACCCGCACGCCGAAAGUCCAAGGUUUCCUGCGCCACGUUAAUCGACGCAGGGUGAGUCGGUCCCUAAGGCGAGGCAGAUAUGCGUAGCCGAUGGAAAACGGGUUAAUAUUCCCGUACUUUGCUGCACUGCGAUGAGGGGACGAAGAAGGCUAAGUCAGCACGCGAUUGGUUGUGCGUGUUUAAGGUGGUAGGCAGAAUCGGUAGGCAAAUCCGCUGGUUUAAUGCCGAGAACUGACGACGAGUCUCGUUUCAGAGACGAAGUGACUGAUGCCCUGCUUCCAAGAAAAGCCUCUAAGCUUCAGGUGUAGUAGAACCGUACCCCAAACCGACACAGGUGGACAGGGUGAGAAUCCCAAGGUGUUUGAGAGAACUCGGGUGAAGGAACUAGGCAAAAUAGCACCGUAACUUCGGGAGAAGGUGUACCUUCUGGAUGAACCCUGCACAGGGGAAGUCUAAGAAGGUCGCAGUGACCAGGUGGCUGCGACUGUUUAUUAAAAACACAGCACUCUGCUAACACGAAAGUGGACGUAUAGGGUGUGACGCCUGCCCGGUGCUGGAAGGUUAAUUGAUGGGUUAGCGAAAAGCGAAGCUCUUGAUCGAGCCCCAGUAAACGGCGGCCGUAACUAUAACGGUCCUAAGGUAGCGAAAUUCCUUGUCGGGUAAGUUCCGACCUGCACGAAUGGCGUAACGAUGGCCACACUGUCUCCACCCGAGACUCAGCGAAUUGAAUUUGCGGUGAAGAUGCCGUAUACCCGCGACUAGACGGAAAGACCCCAUGAACCUUUACUAUAGCUUUACACUGGACUUUGAACCGACUUGUGUAGGAUAGGUGGGAGGCUGUGAAACACUCACGCCAGUGCGUGCGGAGCCAACCUUGAAAUACCACCCUGGUCUGUUCGGGUUCUAACUUGAUACUGUUACCCAGUAUAAGGACCGUGUAUGGUGGGUAGUUUGACUGGGGCGGUCUCCUCCCAAAGAGUAACGGAGGAGUGCGAAGGUACCCUCAGCGCGGUCGGAAAUCGCGCAUUG